GAACAGUUGGACUUGUUUUUGGAAGCAAUAUACUUUUACUGUUGUUAUACGUCUUUGAAUGGGUAAACAUAUGUAUGUGAUCAACAAGAUUACUAUUUAGUCCAAUACUGAUGAUGAAUUGUUACAGGUUUGGUGAAAAAGUCCGUUAAUAUUUUCAAAGGAGUACAUUUGACAUCACUGUGAGUUGGUGCUGCCCUUCUCAACUGUCACAGGAGCAUGCAGCACAGGAUUUGAAAGCACCUGAGGCUCCUCAAUACCGAAUGUGUUUGUAUUUUGAAGUAUUGAGAUCUUCAGAACUUUACCUCCG
This 307-nucleotide long non-coding RNA is filed under the name Gallus gallus (chicken). RNAcentral's name for it is "lncRNA (ENSGALG00010006525.1)". The record is from RNAcentral. Lineage: Eukaryota; Metazoa; Chordata; Aves; Galliformes; Phasianidae.